Molecule: ribosomal RNA, 236 nt
Filed under: Oscillospiraceae bacterium
Lineage: Bacteria; Bacillati; Bacillota; Clostridia; Eubacteriales; Oscillospiraceae
Description: partial 23S ribosomal RNA
Rfam family: Bacterial large subunit ribosomal RNA
Source: RNAcentral
GGACCGGGUCGGACGUACCACCGGUGCACCGGUUGUUCCGCCAGGAGCACAGCCGGGUAGCCGCGUACGGAAGUGAUAAACGCUGAAGGCAUCUAAGCGUGAAACAUGCUUCAAGAUUAGAUAUCCAUAGUGCGAACUUGAAGGCCACUUAAAGACUAUGAGUUUGAUAGGUCGGAGGUGUAAGUGCAGUAAUGCAUUCAGCUGACCGAUACUAAUAGGCCGAAAGCUUGAACUAC